Molecule: ribosomal RNA, 830 nt
Filed under: Pezicula neocinnamomea
Lineage: Eukaryota; Fungi; Ascomycota; Leotiomycetes; Helotiales; Dermateaceae
Description: eukaryotic LSU rRNA
Rfam family: Eukaryotic large subunit ribosomal RNA
Source: RNAcentral
GAUUACCUCAGUAACGGCGAGUGAAGCGGUAACAGCUCAAAUUUGAAAUCUGGGCCUUUCAGGCUCCGAGUUGUAAUUUGUAGAAGAUGCUUUGGGUGCGGCCCCGGUCUAAGUUCCUUGGAACAGGACGUCAUAGAGGGUGAGAAUCCCGUAUGUGAUCGGUGGCUUGCGCCCGUGUAAAGCUCUUUCGACGAGUCGGGUUGUUUGGGAAUGCAGCUCUAAAUGGGUGGUAAAUUUCAUCUAAAGCUAAAUAUUGGCCAGAGACCGAUAGCGCACAAGUAGAGUGAUCGAAAGAUGAAAAGCACUUUGGAAAGAGAGUUAAACAGUACGUGAAAUUGUUGAAAGGGAAGCGCUUGCAACCAGACUUGCGCGGGGUUGAUCAUCCGGGGUUCUCCCCGGUGCACUCGGCCCCGCUCAGGCCAGCAUCGGUUUUGGUGGUUGGAUAAAGGCCUUGGGAAUGUGACUUCUUUCGGGGAGUGUUAUAGCCCUCGGUGCAAUGCAGCCUACCGGGACCGAGGACCGCGCUUCGGCUAGGAUGCUGGCGUAAUGGUUGUAAGCGACCCGUCUUGAAACACGGACCAAGGAGUCUAACAUCUAUGCGAGUGUUUGGGUGUCAAACCCAUGCGCGUAAUGAAAGUGAACGGAGGUGAGAACCCUUAAGGGCGCAUCAUCGACCGAUCCUGAUGUCUUCGGAUGGAUUUGAGUAAGAGCAUAGCUGUUGGGACCCGAAAGAUGGUGAACUAUGCCUGAAUAGGGUGAAGCCAGAGGAAACUCUGGUGGAGGCUCGCAGCGGUUCUGACGUGCAAAUCGAUCGUCAAAUUUGGGCAUAG